GACGAACGCUGGCGGCGUGCUUAACAAAUGCAAGUCGAACGGAAAGGCCCUGCUUUUGUGGGGUGCUCGAGUGGCGAACGGGUGAGUAACACGUGAGUAACCUGCCCUUGACUUUGGGAUAACUUCAGGAAACUGGGGCUAAUACCGGAUAGGAGCUCCUGCUGCAUGGUGGGGGUUGGAAAGUUUCGGCGGUUGGGGAUGGACUCGCGGCUUAUCAGCUUGUUGGUGGGGUAGUGGCUUACCAAGGCGUUGACGGGUAGCCGGCCUGAGAGGGUGACCGGCCACAUUGGGACUGAGAUACGGCCCAGACUCGUACGGGAGGCAGCAGUGGGGAAUAUUGCACAAUGGGCGGAAGCCUGAUGCAGCAACGCCGCGUGCGGGAUGCCCGCCUUCGGGUUGUAAACCGCUUUCGCCUGUGACGAAGCGUGAGUGACGGUAAUGGGUAAAGAAGCACCGGCUAACUACGUG
This 468-nucleotide ribosomal RNA is filed under the name uncultured bacterium. Its description in RNAcentral is "partial 16S ribosomal RNA". It matches the Rfam family "Bacterial small subunit ribosomal RNA", at positions 28 to 507 of the family's 1533-position model. The record is from RNAcentral.